This 509-nucleotide ribosomal RNA is filed under the name Daphnia lumholtzi. RNAcentral's name for it is "partial 12S ribosomal RNA". The record is from RNAcentral. Lineage: Eukaryota; Metazoa; Arthropoda; Branchiopoda; Diplostraca; Daphniidae.
UCUCCUCUUAAAAGGAGAGUGACGGGCGAUAUGUACACAUUCUAUGGCCUUAUUCAAUUUAAUUUCCUAAAAUAAAUUUACUAACAAAUCCACCUUCAGUCAAGUUUUAAUUUGACAUCCGUAUUUUUAUUAAAAUUGUAGCUCAUAAUUCCCUUUACAUAAACUGCACCUUGACCUGAAGUAAAAAAAUAAUUUUUAUUAAAAAACAUCCUUUUAGAGUAAUCUGACAACGGAGGUAUACAAGCUUCACAAGUAAAGGUAAGAUAAAACGGGGACUAUCGAUUAUAAUACAAGCUCCUCUGUUUGGUUAGAAUGCCGCCAAAAUCUUUGGGUUUGAAGAACAACUUUUACUACCCUAUUAAUGAUGAUAAAGAAUAACAGGGUAUCUAAUCCUGGUUUUUUAUCUUUACUUUUUAAUUCCUUAAAAUAUAUUAAGAUAUUUUUUUUCCUUGAACAAAUUUCACCUAAAAAAAGAAAUACAUUUACUUAAAAAUAUCUACCGUUAAUUA